This 1608-nucleotide long non-coding RNA is filed under the name Brassica napus (rape). RNAcentral's name for it is "long non-coding RNA (BNAP_LNC001085)". Lineage: Eukaryota; Viridiplantae; Streptophyta; Magnoliopsida; Brassicales; Brassicaceae. The record is from RNAcentral.
AAAUUGAAAACUUUCCAAAAAUAGCAGUUUUUAAGAAAAUUAUUUAAAAAUACUAUAUACUGAUGAAAAAUUCUGAAAGAAUACUCAUCUAUCCACAAAUAUUUUUGUUAUCAUAAUUUGUAAAUCACAAACCCAAAUCUACAAUAUUACUCAAAAAAAUGAAAACUUUCCAAAAAUAGCAGCUUUUAAGAAAAUUAUUUAAAAAUACAAUAUAUUGAUGAAAAAUUCUGAAAGAAUAUUCAUCUAUCCAUAAAUAUUCUUGUUGUUCUAAUUUCUAAAUCACAAACCCAAAUCAACAAUAUUUCUCAAAAAAAUUGAAAACUUUCUAAAAAUAGUAGUUUUUAAGAAAAUUAUUUUAAAAUACAAUAUAUUGAUGAAAAUUCUGAACAAUACUCAUCUAACCUAAAAUAAUCUUGUUAUCCUAAUUUCUAAAUCACAAACCCAAAUUUAGAGUAUUUCUCAAAAAAUUGAAAACUUUCCAAAAUAGCAGUUUUUAAGAAGAUUAUUUAAAAAUACUAUAUACUGAUGAAAAAUUCUGAAAGAAUACUCAUUUAUCCACAAAUAAUUUUCUUAUCAUAAUUUCUAAAUCACAAACUCAAAUCUAGAAUAUUACUCAAAAAAUAAAAACUUUCCGAAAAUAGCAGCAUUUAAGAAAAUUAUUAAAAAUACAAUAUACUGAUGAAAAACUCUGAAAGAAUACUCAUCUAUUCUAAAAUAUUCUUGUUAUCCUAAUUUCUAAAUCACAAACCCAAAUGUACAGCAUUUCUCAAAAAAAUUGGAAACUUUCCAAAAUCAGCAGUUUUUAAGAAAAUUAUUUAAAAAUACUAUAUACUGAUGAAAAAUUCUGAAACAAUACUCAUCUAUCCUAAAAUAUUCUUGUUAUUCUAAUUUCUAAAUCACAAACCCAAAUCUACAGUAUUUUUUGGAAAAUUGAAAACUUUCCAAAAAUAGCAGUUUUUAAGAAAAUUAUUUACAAAUACUAUAUACUGAUGAAAAAUUCUGAAAGAAUUCUCAUCUAUCCUAAAAUAUUAUUGUUAUCCUAAUUUUAAAUCACAAACCCAAAUGUACAGUAUUUUGUCAAAAAAUUGGAAACUUUCCAAAAAUAGAAGUUUUUAAUAAAAUUAUUUAAAAAUACUAUAUACUGAUGAAAAAUUCAGAAACAAUACUCAUCUAUCCUAAAAUAUUCUUGUUAUCCUAAUUUGUAAAUCACAAACCCAAAUCUACAGUAUUUCUCAAAAAAUUGAAAACUUUAAAAAAAUAGCAGUUUUUAAAAAAAUUAUUCUAAAAUACAAUGUAUCGAUGAAAAAUUCUGAAACAGUACUCAUCUAACCUAAAAUAAUCUUGUUAUCCUAAUUUCUAAAUCACAAACCCAAAUUUACAGUAUUUUUCAAAAAAUUGAAAACUUUCCAAAAUAGCAGUUUUUAAGAAGAUUAUUUAAAAAUACUAUAUACUGAUGAAAAAUUCUGAAAGAAUAGUCUUCUAUCGUAAAAUAUUAUUGUUAUCCUAAUUUCUAAAUCAAAAACCAAAAUCUACAGUAUUUCUUGGAAAAUUGAAAACUUUCCAAAAAUAGCAGUUUUUAAGAAAAUUAUUUAAAAAUACUAUAUAUUG